UACGAAGGGGUGCAAGCGUUUAUCCGGAAUUACUGGGGCGUAAAGCGUGCGCAGGCGGUUCGCUAAGACAGAUGUGAAAUCCCCCGGGCUUUAACCUGGGGAACUGCAUUUGUGACUGGCGGGCUAGAGUAUGGCAGAGGGGGGGUAGAAUUCCACGUGUAGCAGUGAAAUGCGUAGAGAUGUGGAGGAAUACCGAUGGCGAAGGCAGCCCCCUGGGCCAAUACUGACGCUCAUGCACGAAAGCGUGGGGGAGCAAACAGG
RNAcentral lists this ribosomal RNA (261 nucleotides) under uncultured bacterium. RNAcentral's name for it is "partial 16S ribosomal RNA". It matches the Rfam family "Bacterial small subunit ribosomal RNA", at positions 524 to 776 of the family's 1533-position model. The record is from RNAcentral.